This 86-nucleotide transfer RNA is filed under the name Clostridium cibarium. RNAcentral describes it as "Clostridium sp. Sa3CVN1 tRNA-Leu". It matches the Rfam family "tRNA". Rfam says of the family: Transfer RNA (tRNA) molecules are approximately 80 nucleotides in length. Their secondary structure includes four short double-helical elements and three loops (D, anti-codon, and T loops). Lineage: Bacteria; Bacillati; Bacillota; Clostridia; Eubacteriales; Clostridiaceae. The record is from RNAcentral.
GCAGGUGUGCUGGAAUCGGCAGACAGGCACGUUUGAGGGGCGUGUGUACUAGUUACGUACGGGUUCAAGUCCCGUCACCUGCACCA